CCUACGGGAGGCAGCAGUAGGGAAUAUUGGUCAAUGGGCGAGAGCCUGAACCAGCCAUGCCGCGUGCAGGAAGAAGGCCCUCUGGGUUGUAAACUGCUUUUGACAGGGGCCAAAAUACUCAUGCGUGAGGAAUUGAGAGUACCUGUAGAAUAAGCACCGGCUAACUCCGUGCCAGCAGCCGCGGUAAUACGGAGGGUGCAAGCGUUGUCCGGAUUUAUUGGGUUUAAAGGGUGCGUAGGUGGCCUUAUAAGUCAGUGGUGAAGGCCUGCAGCUUAACUGUAGGACUGCCAUUGAUACUGUAGGGCUUGAGUACUGAUGAGGUAGGCGGAAUUGAUAGUGUAGCGGUGAAAUGCAUAGAUAUUAUCAAGAACACCGAUUGCGAAGGCAGCUUACUAAGGAGUUACUGACACUGAGGCACGAAAGCGUGGGGAUCAAACAGGAUUAGAUACCCUGGUAGUCCACGCCAUAAACGAUGAUUACUCGAUGUAUGCGAUAGAUAGUAUGCGUCCAAGCGAAAGCGUUAAGUAAUCCACCUGGGGAGUACGACCGCAAGGUUGAACCUCAAAGGAAUUGACGGCUGAGGACGNGCGAGGCGACGACGAGGGGAGUAGG
This 612-nucleotide ribosomal RNA is filed under the name uncultured bacterium. RNAcentral describes it as "bacterial SSU rRNA". It matches the Rfam family "Bacterial small subunit ribosomal RNA", at positions 338 to 953 of the family's 1533-position model. The record is from RNAcentral.